GGCUUUUGCCUCCCAUGUUUAGUCAGAAGGCUGGUCAUUCCAUCCGUUCGUUACACACAUGGGACAUGGAGGUUCCUUGAGAGUUGAGGGCGCCCCUGUGCUUCUCAUAGUUUUGGAACCACA
This 123-nucleotide small nucleolar RNA is filed under the name Encephalitozoon cuniculi GB-M1. RNAcentral's name for it is "U19 H/ACA snoRNA". Lineage: Eukaryota; Fungi; Microsporidia; Unikaryonidae. The record is from RNAcentral.